Molecule: small nucleolar RNA, 130 nt
Organism: Lampris incognitus (smalleye Pacific opah)
Lineage: Eukaryota; Metazoa; Chordata; Actinopteri; Lampriformes; Lampridae
Product: small nucleolar RNA SNORA17
Exons: 1
Source: RefSeq, a predicted model, not a curated record
AAUGCCCCUUGAGGCGUUGCAGUCCGGCAUUGUGCCGAGCCUGUGUCAUAAGGUGGCAAAGACUAAAAAGGCCUAGCCAUAUCCAAACCUAGAACAGGUGGAAUUUGGGAUGUAGGUUGGGUCUAAUAAU